Molecule: ribosomal RNA, 506 nt
Filed under: uncultured bacterium
Lineage: Bacteria
Description: partial 16S ribosomal RNA
Rfam family: Bacterial small subunit ribosomal RNA
Source: RNAcentral
AGUGAACGCUGGCGGUAGGCCUAACACAUGCAAGUCGAACGGCAGCACAGGAGAGCUUGCUCUCUGGGUGGCGAGUGGCGGACGGGUGAGGAAUACAUCGGAAUCUACUCUGUCGUGGGGGAUAACGUAGGGAAACUUACGCUAAUACCGCAUACGACCUACGGGUGAAAGCAGGGGAUCUUCGGACCUUGCGCGAUUGAAUGAGCCGAUGUCGGAUUAGCUAGUUGGCGGGGUAAAGGCCCACCAAGGCGACGAUCCGUAGCUGGUCUGAGAGGAUGAUCAGCCACCCUGGAACUGGGACACGGUCCAGACUCCUACGGGAGGCAGCAGUGGGGAAUAUUGGACAAUGGGCGCAAGCCUGAUCCAGCCAUACCGCGUGGGUGAAGAAGGCCUUCGGGUUGUAAAGCCCUUUUGUCGGGAAAGAAAUCCAGCUGGUUAAUACCCGGUUGGGAUGACGGUACCCAAAGAAUAAGCACCGGCUAACUUCGUGCCAGCCGCCGCGGUAA